GGUGCUUGUGGGACUGUAUGUAUUCAAGUGUGCCUUUCCUGGUGCUGGGGCCACUGCACAACAUGGCAGUGUGCCCCUGUGAGGUCUCCUCCUCCCCAACAACUUCAGUCUGCUCCACCACUGUAAAUGACGGCAGGUCAAAAUAACUUAGCUGGCUCAACACCAAUAGCACCAGCAGCAUCAAAGGUAACCAGAUGGAAUAGUCACAGAGCCUUUCCUUUUAAAAAGGAAUUGACAGCAAGGAGUAAAAAUGUGUUGGAUAUAUGUUACUUGUGGUGUGUGAUGGCUUAUCUUGUGUUUUUAUGUUUAUAUGUUAUGAAAAAACCCAAAAUAGGAAAGUAUAUCUUAGAAAGCUUUUCAGUUGAAAAAACCCUUUGUCAGGCUGAGGAAGUACCUGCAGUUGGUGCAUCUCCUGAUCCUGGGUGGAAGGAAUAGUAAAGAAGCCAGGGGCUGGCCUGGCACGCAAUGCAGGCAAGAAAGCCAGUCAGUGAAAAUGGAAAUGGAGGCGUCAUGUGGUGAGGGACAGGCUGGGAGGGCAGAGUAGGGGAUGUAGCAGCGUAGGUAAAAGUGCAGAAGUACCUGGGGAGUCAGAUGUCUGAGUCUUGCCUGCCUGUGGCCAGAGGUGCAGGGCCCCAGAACGCAGACUCCCCCUGCAGUUUUCACUCCCCUGUGCCUUAACACACACACAGUCACCUAUGUCAUGAGUUUUGCUUGUCAGCAGCUUGAGGUGCAGUUUCCCAGAAACCCCUGCACCUAUCAUCUUGAAACUUGGCAGGCUUCGUGCCCUCAGCAGUGGCUACCACCUCUGCAAGCGUCAACUGAAUCAGCCAAAAAACAACAAAGUUAUUGCUAUUUCAUUGAUUUCCCCAUUAUACCCUAUGGCUGAAUCGCUGAAUCUUUUCUGAAUUGAUUUGGCUGAAUCAAAUCGGAGAUUCAAAUCGCUUUUCCUAUUUCGAUUUGGCCAAAUCUGAAUCAUCUGAAUCCGAAUCGAAUAGUUGCCUAUUCGCACAGGCCUAAUACAGCGCAGUCUAUUCCUGCACGGUAUUUGUUGAAUCCAAUAUGAUAGUGGUGAGGCUGGGACCUAAAAAAAAAAAAAGGAAAAAAAAAGGAUAUAUGAAGAUCAAAUUAAUCCUUAAACUAUUCUACAUGUUCUGCUCCUUUGUAAAAGGAAAUAGUUAACUCUGUUAAAGUGAAGUGGGCAGAAGGCAAGGCGGGAUGGAACUCUUUUAGAUUUGUUGAGAGGCUUGAGCUUUUGUGGGCUACAUCCUACUCUGGGCCACUUACAGCUCUUUAAAGGUUAUGUUCAGUUUGAAUAACUGAAGCACCUCAGAGCAGUGAAGCAGUGGCUCAAUGUCCUGAGGGGCUGGUAACUGCCUCAGGCCAAACCCUGCCAAGGUUAAACUAACAAGAGGCAGCUGUAAGCAUAUAUUUUUAUUGUGGGAGGAUCUGUACAGAGUGACUCUUGGAUCUAGGAGAGAGACAUGUAUCCAAGUGGGAACCUCAAAAGGUUGUGGCAGGUGUCCUUCAGUCCAUGUAUUCUUAUUCCAAUCUUGGGCCCUCAACUGUGUAAAUUAAGGGCCUGAUUGACAAGACCCACGCAUACUUUGUGCUGUAUUACAGAGGCAACAGAUAAACAAAUCCUUACAUCUACUACUGCUGCUAUUGGAGUCAGGAACACUAGAGCAAUCUCAUAGAGGGAUUGCUGGGCUAAACUCUGCCUGUCAGCCAAAAAUGCAAUUGAUACGGUUCCUUGUGACAACAGGAAUGACAGGACAUAGCAGCAGGAAGUUUUAAAUGCGUCUUGUGGGUGGGUAGGAGGUUUCUUUUCCAGAUGACUAUUCCAAACUCUUCAUGUUAAACGUUGUAAUCCAGCAGAGAAUGAAAAGCAAAACUCUGGGUAAAUUCAAACCAUAUCCUGCUACUCAUGUGUACUGCAGAUUUUCUAUGGGAAGACUCUUAAUAGCCAAAGAAGCAGGCAAAAAUUACUUCUGCAUGCAGUGUGGCUCUGGCCUCAUGUUUGAACAAAGAGAGCAGAGUUGAAUUGAUGUGUGUGCUGUCUGCAGGUCUGUUGAAUAUUUGCCUUCCAAUUGAUUCCCUCUGAAAGCCAGGUUCUUCUCUUCCCUCCCCACCCCCUUUGCAUUCUGCUCUCUGAGGCUGUUCAGCUGGAGGAAGUCUCUUGAAGAUGAAUAACUUGGAGAAUUAUUCCAGCAUGGCAGAGCAGAGCCUUGCCCUGUAGUACAUGCGGGAAAAGUGUUCCAUGAGCACUGGACUGUAAUGUCCCAUGGCAAAUUAUAGAGAGUGGACAGGUGCUUGUUUUGUUUUUUGUUUUUUUAACAGUAGCUCUAAAGAGAAAAGCAAGCUCUUUGACUUCUAAAGGUAUCAGUGCAAAGGGAGUGAAGGGGAAAAAGUGAGUGUCAUUGUUCUUAAUGAUGUAUAAAUUUUAUGGACCUCCUCUUUUUUUUUUUUUAAAUGGGGUAGGAGGUUUCUUUGUGUGAAAGGUCAGAAAACAGGAACCGUUAGUAUAUCAACUGUUACUCCCACAUCUCUAUAAUGGGAUUAAGAUGGUUUCAUGUUCCUCACCUGCCAGGCUUUAAGGAUUUCACCAAUCUUUUUCCUUCUCCUCAUCUGAAAAUAUUCUGUCCCUUUUGCUCUGUAAAAGACUCAUCCAAACAGAGGGGAGACGAGUUAUGAUGGGUACUCCAGUGAAACAGAUUACAUGGUAAGCUCAACCCUACCAUGUGUCACUUGUAAUGCUGCAGCCUGUGCAAGGUUCCUAUAGCAGAGGGAGGGGCCUGGCUUUCCAGUACCUAGCCCAAGAAUGGAGGUGUUUAGACAUAGAGAGCGAUGCAUCUUCCAGCUGGGCUAUGGUUGACCAGGAGCUGUUCCUUCUAAGGUUUAGUCAGAGCUGUCUGAAGCUGCUCAAAUGAACCUAUGACUAAAUUGGCUGUUGAUCAGCCAUAGAAUUAUGUGGCAUAGAAGGUGACAUAAUACCAUUCAUGUGCCUUCCCUGCAGGUGCAUUGAGCUUAGCUUAGGAGUGAGUCCAAUCUACUGUCAAAAGCAGAAAACCAAUACAGAAUAAAUGCUUUGUUUUCUUUUAUGGUCAGCUUAAAGUUGCUUGUAACAUUGACAGGGAAUACAAGAUGCUCAAAAGGCAUGCGACUGAAGUUGUCAGUGUCGUUUCACAGUAACGGAUUCCCAGAGCUCCUGGUUACCUACAAAAUACUUGAGCUUCUCCGCAAAAAUCAUUUUGCCUGUAGCUAUCACCACGAACUUAAAGAAGCUAUCACUCUGCCUUUUGCCGGGACAGGAAUUGAAGCAGGCAUCAACCUCUACACACUCAUUUCUUGUCACUCUUGGACCACCAUGUGGGUUUGGGGUAACUGUUCUCUUACUGAAUCUCAACAUUGCCAGCAUUUUCCAUCUUCUGUUGAUGACAAUGCCAAGCUCUUGGAUGCGCCUGCACAAAGGCUCAAGUUGCUCUCUUUGGUGAAUGCAUGGUUAACUUGCCUACUAGCAGUAAUUUGUGUUAAUAAGUGGUGAAAUAAUCAACACAAAAUUGUCCCAGCAGAAGCAUGCAGGUGACUUGCUCAUUCCAGGUGUUGUGGGGUUCCCCAAUAGCAUCCCUAAUAGCUUUUUAAAGUGAGCCAAUUAAUUAUUUUUAUUUGCUUUUCUUGCAUUUAUUAGCAUAAAAAGCAACAUUGAAAGUUCUGUGCUGCUGAAAACUAAAGGAAAAGGCCAUAAGGAUUUUGAGUAAAACCAUGGAUGAUUUGACUUGGUGUCUAUGGUGUGAGAAUAUAUAUGACCCUCCUGUGCAUCUGAGCUUGUAUUCAUGUGAUGCCUGAUACAGGGAUCACACAUUCUGUGCAUUCAUCUUUCCAGUGCAAUUAGCAUUUGGUAAGAAAUUAUUACACGUUAGAAGCACCUCUCAGCUUUUGCAGUGAGAACAUAAAAGUAUUAAAAGCCAUACCGGGUCAGAUAAGUGGUGCAUCUAGCCCAGCAUUCUGUCUUUGAUGGUGGCAAUAAUAGAUCUUUUAGAGCAGGAUGUGGGCAAAAUAUGACCCAUGGGUCACAUCCGACCUGCCAACAGAUUUGAUCUGUCCUGUGGGUGAAUGGCUACCAACCCACUGAAUCUAGCCUGUGAGUGGCUGGCAGCUCUGGUCCCCAUGUGGUACUAGGCAGGUAGAACUGCUUCUGCCCAGCAACAUCAAUCCUUGAUGCAAUGACAGUGCUGAUUCAGUGGGGGGUGAUGAGUGGCCAGACACUCUGGAUUUGGCAGUAGCGGGGGGGGGGGUGCUGAGCAGCCAGAUGUGAAGCCAGUGGCAGUGUGGAGUCACCAUGCCACUCUGCCCAGCUCUGCAGGGCCCCCCAAAGUGUGGGGCCUGGUGCGGUCACCCCAAUUUGCCCGCACCCCCACCCCCCGGGACUGCCAUGGCUGUGACACUGCUAGCCGGUUCCACACUGGGGCUCUGGAGCCUUCUGGCUGUGCCCAUAGCUGAUACUGCCAUCUGCCCACCUGCCACUUGGAUCCAUAGCUGAGUGUCAGGGCUUCUGGCAAACUACUGCUCCAGCCAGGUUCUGGAGGGAGAGGGGGAAAGGGAGAGAGAUGAGAUGGAGGAGAGAGACAGAGGAGAGACAAAGAGACAGAGAUGGAUGUGGCCCUUGGCAGGUCUCUAGAACUUAAGUGACCCUCCAGUUGAAAUAAUUGCCCACUCCUGCUUUAGAGGAGAGUAUAUGAAUAUGGUAUAUGUAGAGUGAUCUUUCUUCCCAGUCAUAUCCAUCCUGGCAUCCACCAUCAUUGGUUUAGAAAUGCCUUGAUUGUUCUGUUUAAUAGUUAUUAAUAAACCUAUUGUCCAUGAAUUUGGAUAGUUCCUUUUUGAACUUGGUUAUACCAUCUGCCUCUACAACUUCUGGUAACAAUGAGUUCCACAAGUUAACUACACACGGUAUAAAAUGUACUUUCCCUUACUACUUUUAAAUCUGUCUCUUGCUAAUUUCACUGGGUGUCCUCUAGUUCUAGUUUCCUGGGACUUGGUGAAUAAUAGCUCCCUGUUCACUUUUUCCACACCUUCAUGAAAUUAUAGACUUCUAUCAUAUCCUCCUCCCCCCUCCUGCCUCUGCAGCUUUCUCUUUUCCAAACUGAGGAAUCCUAGCCUUUUUAGUCUCUCCUGGUAUGACAGCUGCUCCAUUCCUCUGAUCGUCUUGGUUGCCCAUUUCUGUACCUUUUCUAAUGCUACUACACCUGUUUUUUGAGAGAUGGAUACUAGAACUGCACACAUUAUUUGAGAUGGGGGCGCACCAUGGAUUUUUGUAUAGUGGCAUAAUGAUGUUUUUGGUUUUGUUUUCAGUCCCUUUCUUAAUGAUGCCCAACAUUUUAUUGGCUUUUUUUGGUUGCUGCCAUAUGUUGAACUGCUGUUUUUAGAGAACAGUCUACAAUGACUCCAAGAUUUCUUUCCUGAGUUGCAAUGGCUAGUUCAGAACUCAGCAUUGUGUACAUAUAAUUGAAGGUAUGUUUCCCCACCCAUAUGCAUUAACUUGUACUUGUCAACACUGGAGUUCAUCUGCCACUUUUUUGCCUAUUUAUUUAGCUUGGUGAGAUGUUUUGGAAGCUCUUCUCUGUCAGCUUGGGAUUUGACUACCCAGAAUACCAUAGCAUUAUCUGUAAACUUGGAGAGGUCACUAUUCAUCUCUAUUUCCAGGUCAUCGAUGAAAAUGUUGAACAGAACUGGGUCUAUCAGGGAGCACAGAUCCCUACAAGACCCCAGUUUUGGCCUCCCUCCAUCCUGAAAAGUGAUCAUUUAGCUAUACUGUUGGCUUCCUAUCUUUUAACCAGCUCCCAAGCCAACUUUCCCUACAGUGAUUGUGGCGGGCCAAUAGGGAGUGCUCCUGCGUUGAGCCACCUACCUCACUGCGCCCGACAACCUUGCAAGCUCCGAGUACCUCCCUGGGGGCACUUCACGUCUGGCCAAUCCCCUUCCUGGAGCACAACCACUACCCUGGGGUAAAAACUACUACAACCCAGGGCUGGGCUUGAUUCUGGCUCUGCAUCUCCUAGGUAACACAGGCCUAGUAGCCCUCAAGGUUACUUGACUCACUUCAAGCAUUUGAGGGUGCUUCCCUCAGUCAGAAGCACAAGUAGUGGUCUCCGUUAGUCAGCUGAACCAAGGGGACCCCAAGGCAUAAUCUAGACCCACUCCCAAUAAGUCUCCCAUGCUAGGUACAAAGGAGAACUUUAUUGGUUACAAGGGGUAGGGUUGGAAUAGGGUACAGGGUAAAGCAAUAUCAGAGAAAUCCCAUAGAGCAAACUGGCAUGGCUGGGUAGCCUUUGAUCAUGCAUCUGAGGUCCUGAAGCUAUAUAUCUAGUUAGAUCUCAGGUAGCUUACCCGCAAGUAUCAUCCAGAGGCAGGUGAAGAUUCCCUCUGGAGGCAGGCAGUUCCUUGAUCAUGAGUUUUAAGAGAGAGAGAGAGAGAGCAGGUUUCAGAUGGUCCAGCUCUUCUCUCUCUCUCUCUCUCUCUCAUAGCCCUUAUGACCUCAUUUACCUGGCCCAAUGGAGGCCAGCACCUGGUGGCUGUCAGCCAACCAAUUUGAAAUUCAUCACUAGUUGCUAGGCAGACUGACAGUCUCUAGCUCCCCAGGGAGCCCAAGCCCCUCACCUAGGUAUGUGAUGCCAGUCACGUAGGCAGAGAGAGUGGAAACCCCCCCUCCCUCAGGAAUGUAUCCAGCUGAGGUUACCUAAAAAGAUAGGGUAAGGUGUGUAUCCUCUGCUGAGCCCAUCCUAACCAAAUUGUCACAGAGCAGAGUUUUUGGGGAGAAACAGAGUUGGCCUUCUGCCAUAGUGAUGCUGUGACAAAAAAUAAAAAACAGCCUGCAUUAUUGUUUGAAGCACUGUGUUGGGAAAUAGGCAAUGCUAUGACAUCCUCGAAAUUAGUCCAUUCAGACAGUACUAUAAAAUUCAUAUAUUACAAUAGCUCCUAAUCAAGCACCUGAAAUUAUGAUAGUUAACAGCCACGCUCUCCUGGCUAUUACAUUAGCUUUCUAUUUUGCUUGAGUGAUACAGCAGUAAAAUAGAGACCCGGACUCUGAUUACUUGGGCACUGGUUUGGAUCUCAAGUAUGGAAAAGUUAAGGCUGCUAAGGGCAGUUUCAUAAUUUUUAAACAGCUAUAUAGGGGCCAAAGUUUCAUCUAAUGCUAUAUGUCACAAGUUUAGUUCCUCUGGGCAAAUAGAACAAACCUUCCUCUUGUUUUACGUAUAUCUACCACCCUCGCACCAUGCUGUCUUCUCCACCAGCUUUAUCUUUCUGGAUACUGCUGAAUAUGACUAAUGUAUGGUGAGGAAGUCAGCUACAACUGGAAUUAGUGGGAGGACCUUGGAAUAUUUUCUUAGGUUGGUGGAGAAGAUCAGCAACAUAGCAUAGGGAAGGGAAAGGGACAAACUGGGCUGAGCUGCUUGCUGCUGAGCUCCCAUGCCAGAUCCAGCCUGUAGGCUGUAGGUUGCCAACCUCUGCACUAAGGAGUUUAAAAAUAAAUAUUUAAGAUGUCAGUGGGCACCUCUACAUGUACAAUUAAUUCAAAACUCCAGGGUUAAUUGCUCCAAAGUUUAUUGCUCCCAGGCAUGCUGUUUGAACAUGUGCCCAAGAGCAAUAAGUUCUGGUGCAAUAAACCUUGGAAUUUAUUGCCGUUUGAAUGUGUGCCUGUGACUGCAGCACACUGAGCUGGGUGGGAGCAGCCCUGGCUGGCAGAGGCCCUGGGGCUGAGCCUGCCAGCCUGGGGCUGCUUCCCCCUGCUCAACAUGCUAUGGAGAGGUUGGCUGGGGCACAAGGGUAUCUCAGUGCUGUUGUGGUUUUGAGCCAUCGCAUGUAUGUUCCGUCUCCACUUUUCUGGUUGAGUGGGCUGCUGUUUUUGUUGGUGGUCAUAGAGAUCAGUGAAUCCCUUAGGUAGCUUGGGAAGUAAGUAGAAGUUUCUGAGCUUGCUGUUUUCCCUCAAUUAAUGAACAUGGUGCUUCAGUUCAAGCAGUAGAGUUACAGGACUUAGAGUACCUGUAGAUGUUCAGGGAGGUUGCCCUGACAUUGCUGGAGCAUGCUAAUUAACACACACUAGCCAACCUCCAUGUCUGGUGUAUCAGUAUCCCCGCACUUCAAAAUGGUGGUGGGAGCAUUUUAACUAAAGCUUGUUCGACGAGCCUUAGUUAAAACACCCCCGCCACCAUUUUGAAGUGCAGGGAUGCAGAUACAUGAGACACUGAGGGCACUUUAAUUAGAGUGGCUUUUGGAGCUACUUUAAUUAAAGCACCCUUCCACCCUCUACCCCUGGAGCAUAUGUAAAAAUGCCCUUAGGGUGUAUCCACAUAUGCAAUCACAUGCACUUGCAGUAGCUCAAAUUGAAGCAGCGCAAAUUUGAGCCAGGGCUUUUCGCCUCAGUGCACGUGCCCGAACAUGCACUUUGUGGGGCAAAUUUUGCCACUUGGGGCAAAACAACCCUGCUCGGCUCCUCCCAGAUCUGCAGCCUGGGGGAGCUAGAGGCUGGGGCCAGCACCUGGGGGAGGAGCCUCUGGGAGGAAGUUGGCCACACCCAUUCCUGUCCCAGGCUGCUGCUGUUACUGUUGCUUGAUCUCAGAACCUUCUAGGGGAAGUAGACCAUGCACCUACCUACUGUAGGCUAUUGCUGCUGCUAGCCUACUCUCAGGAGCUUCUGGGGGUUCUGGGACCUCCUGGUCAACCUCCUCCUGGCCCUGGCCAAGGGAACUCUGUACUUGAGUAGGAAGGAGGCUCUGGCCGGGAAGGUGCCUGGAGACUGCACGGCCGCUUUUCUCUCCCUUGUCUGUUCAACUUUAUGAGUAGAGCACAGUGGGUGGCAUCCACCAGCUCCUUUGAUGCUGUGGGUCCAGCCUGGGGGGGGUCUGUUCAGUGUCCCCCUCAGGUGCACUUAUUUUCAUGUUUUGACCCUUUGACUCACACAACACUCCUAUCCUGAGUUUUUUUUCCACUAGUUGUCCCACGAAUUUAGUUGUUCCAUUCAUCCAUUAGCCCCCAUAAAAAGGGGCUACUAGUUAGCCAGGUGGGCCUUGCCCAUGGUAAUUGGAUGGAUAUAUAGGAGCUUCUGGGGAAAGCUGGCCAUAACCCUUCCUGCUUCAGGCUGCUAUUGCUGUUGCUAGCCCUCUCAGAAGCUUCUGGAAGGAUGCUGGCCACUCCCCUUCCUGCAUCAGGCGGCUGCUGCUGUUGCCACCCCCCCAUGGGGGGCUCCUCUGUUGCACACCUCUGCCCCUGCUUUGGGGGGGCCCACCGCAUUGCACCGCACACCAGCAUUGCACCCCAGCUUCUACACAUGUUCCAGCCUGCUGCCCAGCCCACUGCCAAGCUGUGGGUGGGAGACAGCCCGAGAAAGGAACCUGAGGUGUCUAUGGGCCCCUCCCCCACCAUCAAUGCUGGAGCCUAAAGGUGCCUUGCCUGCCUCAGCUGCCUUGGCAGUCCACCCCCACCUUCACCUCCACUUUCACCUGAAGCACAUGCUGAGUGGCUGAACUGGAUAGCUGCUACCUGUUCUGCUGCUGUCCCCUCUCAGGAGAUGGAGAUGCCCUACUACAUCACCUUGCACCACUCAACACCACACCAGCACUGGAUUACUCCCUAAUUGACUAAUUACUUCUGCACUCCCCUACAGCUGGCCCACUGCAUCUAAUUCUGCUUUGUUUUCUUGCAUAUUGUCCUGCUGCUGAGUGCCUGGCUAGAGGCCAGAGGGGCUCCUGGACCAAGAUCCAACAAACAAAGCCUGUCCACCCAUCUUUUAUAUCUGCCUCAGCAGCCUUCCCUGUGUGUUGUUGCCCUUGUGUGGGGUCUCCAUCCCCUGAAGUCCAGCUGCCUCAGCAUGCUGGAGCAAAUAGGAGAGGGGCAAGGCUGCAGCAGUGGAUCAGACCCAGGCUCUGUCCCUGGAUUUUUAUGUACAAGGCUACCUUCCUCCAAAACCUCAGCAUCAUGAUCAGUUCAUAGCAAAAACUGCAGCUCAUCUCUCAAAGCCUAGAAAAAAACUCUACAACAGCUCAGUACAACACAAUGUACAAACUGUACAGGAACUAAAGAGGGGAAGGAAGGAAGAAAGGACAGAAGGAUGGAAGGAAAGCUGAAAGGAAGACAAAAAAAGAAAAUAAGAAAAAGAAAAGAACAGCUGCCCCCUUUAUCUCUUCUGAAUUAUUUUCAACUAAGAAAUGCAAGUCAAAUGUUGUGCUUCAAGAGUCAUGAUCACUACAAAAUGGGUUCUUUUGAAGGGGGAAACACUUGCCCUUGACUUGCUUUCCCUUUCCCCUUAACACCCCCAUGUAAAAACUGUAUAAGAAGUCAGGUUUUGAGUGUUGCAGUAGAAACCAGGAGGCCUGCCGGACACUGGUCUAGCAGAUCUCUAUGAUUCUGUUGGUUUCAUCCUUCUGUUUUGGAGCUUUAUCAGGGAGAAGGCUUGGGCAGUUCUCUGGGGGCAAAGCACCAGAUACAUAUGAAAGGGUGUCCAGUUUGAGUGGUUGAGAUUCUUGGCUCCACCAGCCUCGGAAACUAGAAACUAGGAACAAGCCCAUGAAAGAGGGAAGCUGUGAAAUCACAAUAGCUGGACAUGCGAGAGGUCUGCUUAGACCUUGUAUUACAGAAUGUUUCCCUUGAGAAAACUGCACUAUGUCUGCUGCUAUCUUUUGUUCUUAGGGUUGUGAGUAGGUCAAGAGUAGUUUGAAUGUGGAGAUCGGGUAGGGACAGAAUAUUCCAGUUUCCUCAUGCCCAGCACUCUUGGCACUAAUCUUUACAAAUCUUUUACAUAUAGGUGAGUUACAGCAUCACUUGGACCCAUCACAAUACACUGCGAUGUUGGAUGCAGCCUUUGGUAUAAGGAACAAUUUCCUCCUUCCCCCACUCCCUGACAUGACCAAGGAAAACCAGAGUGAGGCUGAAGCAAGGGGACAUGUGUGAACAUUUUUCUAUAGAGUAUGGAGUUGUCCACUGAACACGGUAUAGGUGUUGUGGUAGAGAGUAAGAGUUUGAUCACAUCCCUGAACUGUUUGACUUGUUGGUCCAGUAAAGGCUUUCACAUUACCCACCUCACAAAGACUGUUUGCUUGCCUCGUCUUUUUUAAUCUAUAGUCAGUCACAUGUCUAGGAGACCAGAUGUCUAGGAUACCUGAAGAUUGAAGGUGCUUUGUUUCUCUUGCUCAAAAUCACUUGUUCUUCUGUACAUGGCUUCCUUUCUGUCUCUUUUCAUGCAGUUUCUAAGAGCCCAGCACACAGCAAGGGGCACGCUACACAUUCCCUUACACAUGGAAGUGACUGUGCACCCAAGGUGACUGUGACAGGAUGAAAACCAAACAAGGAAUGGGGAGCUCCUUGCAUGCCCCAUUCAUGAACGUGACCAUAAGUUUGAAACCAUAGAUUGUUCAGAGCAGGAGAGUCUUUUCCCACAGUUAAUAAACAUGCUGGUCCUGUGUAUCACAGGAGCAAACA
Molecule: long non-coding RNA, 11466 nt
Organism: Alligator mississippiensis (American alligator)
Lineage: Eukaryota; Metazoa; Chordata; Crocodylia; Alligatoridae
Exons: 3
Source: RefSeq, a predicted model, not a curated record